GAUCAUGGCUCAAGAUGAACGCUAGCUACAGGCUUAACACAUGCAAGUCGAGGGGCAGCAUGGUCUUAGCUUGCUAAGGCCGAUGGCGACCGGCGCACGGGUGAGUAACGCGUAUCCAACCUGCCUUACACUCUUGGACAGCCUUCUGAAAGGGAGAUUAAUACAAGAUGUUAUCAUGAGUAAGCAUUUUCGCAUGAUUAAAGGUUUAUCGGUGUAAGAUGGGGAUGCG
Molecule: ribosomal RNA, 229 nt
Filed under: uncultured bacterium
Lineage: Bacteria
Description: partial 16S ribosomal RNA
Rfam family: Bacterial small subunit ribosomal RNA
Source: RNAcentral